RNAcentral lists this ribosomal RNA (668 nucleotides) under uncultured bacterium. Its description in RNAcentral is "bacterial SSU rRNA". It matches the Rfam family "Bacterial small subunit ribosomal RNA", at positions 137 to 823 of the family's 1533-position model. The record is from RNAcentral.
AGGGGGAUAACAGUUAGAAAUGACUGCUAAUACCGCAUAAGCGCACAGGACCGCAUGGUUCGGUGUGAAAAACUGAGGUGGUNUAGGAUGGACCCGCGUCUGAUUAGCUUGUUGGUGGGGUAACGGCUCACCAAGGCGACGAUCAGUAGCCGGCCUGAGAGGGCGACCGGNCACAUUGGGACUGANACACGGCCCAAACUCCUACGGGAGGCAGCAGUGGGGAAUAUUGCACAAUGGGGGAAACCCUGAUGCAGCGACGCCGCGUGAGUGAAGAAGUAUUUCGGUAUGUAAAGCUCUAUCAGCAGGAAAGAUAAUGACGGUACCUGACUAAGAAGCCCCGGCUAACUACGUGCCAGCAGCCGCGGUAAUACGUAGGGGGCAAGCGUUAUCCGGAAUUACUGGGUGUAAAGGGUGAGUAGGCGGCAUGGUAAGCCAGAUGUGAAAGCCUUGGGCUUAACCCGAGGAUUGCAUUUGGAACUAUCAAGCUAGAGUACAGGAGAGGAAAGCGGAAUUCCUAGUGUAGCGGUGAAAUGCGUAGAUAUUANGAAGAACACCAGUGGCGAAGGCGGCUUUCUGGACUGAAACUGACGCUGAGGCACGAAAGCGUGGGGAGCGAACAGGAUUAGAUACCCUGGUAGUCCACGCCGUAAACGAUGAGUGCUAGGUGU